This 497-nucleotide ribosomal RNA is filed under the name uncultured bacterium. RNAcentral describes it as "partial 16S ribosomal RNA". It matches the Rfam family "Bacterial small subunit ribosomal RNA", at positions 28 to 507 of the family's 1533-position model. The record is from RNAcentral.
GAUGAACGCUGGCGGCGUGCCUAAUACAUGCAAGUCGAGCGAACAGACGAGGAGCUUGCUCCUCUGACGUUAGCGGCGGACGGGUGAGUAACACGUGGAUAACCUACCUAUAAGACUGGGAUAACUUCGGGAAACCGGAGCUAAUACCGGAUAAUAUAUUGAACCGCAUGGUUCAAUAGUGAAAGACGGUUUUGCUGUCACUUAUAGAUGGAUCCGCGCCGCAUUAGCUAUUUGGUAAGGUAACGGCUUACCAAGGCAACGAUGCGUAGCCGACCUGAGAGGGUGAUCGGCCACACUGGAACUGGAACACGGUCCAGACUCCUACGGGAGGAAGCAGUAGGGAAUCUUCCGCAAAGGGCGAAAGCCUGACGGGGCAACGCCGCGUGAGUGAUGAAGGUCUUCGGAUCGUAAAACUCUGUUAUCAGGGAAGAACAAAUGUGUAAGUAACUAUGCAAGUCUUGACGGUACCUAAUCAGAAAGCCACGGCUAACUACGUG